CCUACGGGUGGCUGCAGUCGAGAAUCAUUCACAAUGGGGGAAACCCUGAUGGUGCGACGCCGCGUGGGGGAAUGAAGGUCUUCGGAUUGUAAACCCCUGUCAUGUGGGAGCAAAUUAAAAAGAUAGUACCACAAGAGGAAGAGACGGCUAACUCUGUGCCAGCAGCCGCGGUAAUACAGAGGUCUCAAGCGUUGUUCGGAAUCACUGGGCGUAAAGCGUGCGGAGGCUGUUGCGUAAGUCGUGGGUGAAAGGCGCGGGCUCAACCCGCGGACUGCACAUGAGACUGCGAGACUAGCGGAAUGGAGGGGGAACCGGAAUUCUCGGUGUAGCAGUGAAGUGCGUAGAUAUCGAGAGGAACACUCGUGGCGAAGGCGGGUUCCUGGACAUUAACUGACGCUGAGGCACGAAGGCCAGGGGAGCGAAAGGGAUUAGAUACCCCAGUAGUC
This 446-nucleotide ribosomal RNA is filed under the name uncultured bacterium. RNAcentral describes it as "partial 16S ribosomal RNA". It matches the Rfam family "Bacterial small subunit ribosomal RNA", at positions 338 to 795 of the family's 1533-position model. The record is from RNAcentral.